GGAAGGGUGGCCGAGCGGCUGAAGGCGCACGCUUGGAAAGCGUGUAUACCGAAAGGUAUCGUGGGUUCAAAUCCCACCCCUUCCG
Molecule: transfer RNA, 85 nt
Filed under: Candidatus Margulisiibacteriota bacterium
Lineage: Bacteria; Bacillati; Candidatus Margulisiibacteriota
Description: tRNA-Ser
Rfam family: tRNA
About the family: Transfer RNA (tRNA) molecules are approximately 80 nucleotides in length. Their secondary structure includes four short double-helical elements and three loops (D, anti-codon, and T loops).
Source: RNAcentral